Long non-coding RNA from Trematomus bernacchii (emerald rockcod), 325 nucleotides. RefSeq lists it as uncharacterized. The record is from RefSeq and is a predicted model, not a curated record. The transcript is spliced from 4 exons. Lineage: Eukaryota; Metazoa; Chordata; Actinopteri; Perciformes; Nototheniidae.
UGUAAGAGACAAUUUGACCGGUGACGCAGGUGUCUUGAUUGGCUGAUUUGCACGAAUCAGGUGUCAUGUCUGAGACCACCUUGAUGAUGGGAGCAGCAGCAGCUGCAGGCCACCGAGGAUACUCUGCAGAUUGUGAGAGAAGUUGAACCCAAGACUGACCUCUCGGCUUGAAAGCCUGAUGCUAGAGAGCCACAGGAGGCAGACUUCGAAUGAGAGCAGAUCCAGCCCAGAGGCAGGAUUGGCCUGUGAGGGUGUGCAUCUCUUCUCGACCCUGCAAUGCAUCUACGUCUUAUUUACCUCUGAAUGUGGUCGCUCUACAAGGCAU